UUCGUAGGGUCCGAGCGUUGUCCGGAAUUAUUGGGCGUAAAGAGCUCGUAGGCGGUCUGUCGCGUCGGCUGUGAAAACACGGGGCUCAACUCCGUGCCUGCAGUCGAUACGGGCAGACUAGAGUUCGGUAGGGGAGACUGGAAUUCCUGGUGUAGCGGUGAAAUGCGCAGAUAUCAGGAGGAACACCGGUGGCGAAGGCGGGUCUCUGGGCCGAUACUGACGCUGAGGAGCGAAAGCGUGGGGAGCAAACAGG
Molecule: ribosomal RNA, 253 nt
Filed under: uncultured bacterium
Lineage: Bacteria
Description: partial 16S ribosomal RNA
Rfam family: Bacterial small subunit ribosomal RNA
Source: RNAcentral